GGGUUGGAAAAAAUCUGCGGAUUUUUUUUGUGCGGGUAUCCGGCGGGUAACAGGACAGGUACGAGUACAGUUUUUUACAUGUGGGUCGGGUUCGGGUAUCACACUAUCCAUGCCCGACCCGACCCGUUGCGAUCCAUAUGCACAGUUGUGAAUUUGAAUGUGAAGAUUGCAUGGCUGCCAUUUGUAUCCAAAAACCAUGAAUCAGAUACUGUCCUAACAGUCCCUAAUAUAAUAAUAACAUUUUUUCUGUUUGCAUGUAUGAUGAGUUCUGCACACCUUAAAAGAAGUGUCAUAUUUGCCUGGGCUGUUGAAUCUAACCAUCAAUCUGACAUUCAUUGAUAAAAUGACAAUGAAUUUGUUCUACCAAUCAAACUCACUGUAAUUAAAACAGCUUUAAUCUUUU
RNAcentral lists this long non-coding RNA (403 nucleotides) under Vigna radiata. Its description in RNAcentral is "long non-coding RNA (VRAD_LNC016137)". The record is from RNAcentral. Lineage: Eukaryota; Viridiplantae; Streptophyta; Magnoliopsida; Fabales; Fabaceae.